AUGCAAAAUAUCAGUUUGAACAACUCCAUGUUUGCUUUCACGUCAAUGGGAGGAAAGGUAGACACAGAAAUAAACAAUGGCCGCAGACGUUAUAUAUUUGUACUGAAUGGCCAAAAAUACCACAGAAUAGGUACUCUAUUACCUGAAGGUAAGGAUGAACCACGCACAACGCAGUUGUACACAUAUGACACUAUAAAUGAGGUAAAAUCAGGAUUGAAACGUCAACAUCAGAAGACAAAAGGGAGUCAAGAGAUCCUCACUUCGUCGGGGGCCUUAAAAAUGUUGGAUAGAGAUAAUAGACUAGCAAAAACACUCAGAAUGGCAAGGGAUAAAUUUGGAAAGGUGACUAUCACAACGUGA
RNAcentral lists this ribosomal RNA (360 nucleotides) under Triticum aestivum (bread wheat). RNAcentral's name for it is "partial small subunit ribosomal RNA". Lineage: Eukaryota; Viridiplantae; Streptophyta; Magnoliopsida; Poales; Poaceae. The record is from RNAcentral.